CGACGUGAGUAACCUGCCUCAUACAGGGGAAUAACAGUUAGAAAUGACUGCUAAUGCCGCAUAAGCGCACAGGGCCGCAUGGCCCGGUGUGAAAAACUCCGGUGGUAUGAGAUGGACUCGCGUCUGAUUAGCUAGUUGGCAGGGUAACGGCCUACCAAGGCGACGAUCAGUAGCCGGCCUGAGAGGGUGAACGGCCACAUUGGGACUGAGACACGGCCCAA
RNAcentral lists this ribosomal RNA (221 nucleotides) under uncultured bacterium. RNAcentral describes it as "partial 16S ribosomal RNA". It matches the Rfam family "Bacterial small subunit ribosomal RNA", at positions 113 to 334 of the family's 1533-position model. The record is from RNAcentral.